This is a long non-coding RNA of Triticum dicoccoides, 1847 nucleotides long. RefSeq lists it as uncharacterized. The transcript is spliced from 4 exons. NCBI's taxonomy places the organism in Eukaryota, Viridiplantae, Streptophyta, Magnoliopsida, Poales, Poaceae. The record is from RefSeq and is a predicted model, not a curated record.
GCGCCGUUCCUCCUGCAGAUCGAGAAGGAUGGAUAUAUCAUGAGCAAACAUCACCGCUUCCCUUCCUCCAUGCGCCGCCGCUCCAUCCUUCCCCUCCUCCUCGCGCCGCCCCUCUUUCUACCGUCACCACCCCCCAUCGGCGCCCUCCGCAGCCUAGCUGAGCCCCUUCGCCCGUGGACGUGUUCCGGCGUCAUCCCGCUACAGGUUGUCGUACCUCUGGAGGUGCGGAGUGGUGGUGGAGGCGAGAGGAGAGGCGCAGGAUCUUGGCCUUGAUGUCACCGAUUUUGACGUGGGCGGUGUCUUGCUCGCGUCCGGGUGUGGGUGGUUCGUGCCAUCACCGUACCACCAACAAGGAUGACACCAGACACCUGAUGGCCUCUCCCUGAGAACCGUCUUUGCUUCGCCGAUGUAUCCCACCUGCGCCCAAUGUUGAGGUCUUGAGGGUGUGAUUCCUAGUGAGAAGGACCGCCGUCAGGCCACAAUGGACUUCACACCUCCCAUUUUCUACUGUUCUCGCAUGCACGUACUGUUACCUAGAGCAGAAAGCAUAUAGAGAUUAUAUUAGUAUAGAUGUAUAGAAGUCAUGAUGAUGGACUAAGAUAAUUCUGUUGCACAAUACUAUGCACUGAGAUUCAGUCAUGGCAUUUCUUGUCAGUAUCGCAUGAACAUGAUAGAGACUGAUCAAAUAAAUGGCACUUGAUUUCAUCUACUUAUAUUCUUCAGGGAAUGUAAGCAAGCGGUGCAUGGAAGCUGAUACUUGCAAUCUGUUUGCGGAAUCUGGCAGUGUUUCAGUCCAAGAAUGAGAAUCAUGUGAUUGCUGAUCGACUAUGCAGCUUGUUUAGGCAUCAGCGUCUCUACUGCUAUCUGGGAUUGGAGGAAAGGCAGCUCGAAAAACUAAAGCACUAAUGAAGCAACAAGUGGAAGUCCAAUUCAGAAAGAAGUAGUUUGUUCUAUAUACUAGAUUGGACAAUGUUUUUCCGCUGGAAGUCUAUUGCUGAAUCUUAAAUCAAGAGGAAGCUAUCUAACUUUCUUCUUAAGGAGCCGGGAAGUUUCGCCAAGCCACUACAGUGGGCAAGAGAUCAGCUAAUUCAUUUGAGCCGGGGAGGCGACGGCGGCGGGGAGCAGCGGCACAUCGGCGGACAGCAACACAUGUGUAGCACACAGCGGCAGCGGCUGCACGGCCACGACGGACAAGCAACAACGCGAAGCAGGGGCAGGUGGUGGUAAGAAUAAGUAUCACUUGUCAUGUUUAACUCAUGGCCAACAAAGAGUAAGUAUCACUUGAAACUCACUACAUGAAGAAUACUGCUGUGACGAUUAUAUACAUAUAUGUUCCACUUGGUUGCUCAGGUAGUAUUAAUUUCUAAUUUCUUAUCACUUCCUUUUUCUUGCAGUCAAGUUUUGAAACUGGGCUUUGAUGAGAAGUUCAUUCGUAUAUGGGAAUUCUAUCUUGUAUACUCUGCCUCUGGUUUGAAGUCAUGAGUAGCUAGAGAUUACCUGGCGGGGCCUGCUAUGACUCCCAAUGGGUGGUAUUACUGCAACUGUCGAUCCUUCAAAUUUUGACGAUAACAAGUAGCCUGAAUCCAAGAAGAAAACUAAUUCAAUUCUCCCAAGACUGCUAAUUUUUGGGUUUCUUUGUUCCAACUUUGCAUUGACACCACUUGGACAAUGUUUGUGUUCCUUUGCUUUUCAUCAUGAAAACAAACAUUCUGAAAUCUUCAUAGGAUAUUUGAUUUCAUUUUUACUAUACAAUAGAGUAAAUAGGCUACGUCCUUACAUUCUCCGCGGAGAAGUUAUCCAGCCAGUCGGUUGCCAUUGAUUUGUGACAUUUUUUUAUACAGUUGUGA